This 494-nucleotide ribosomal RNA is filed under the name uncultured bacterium. RNAcentral describes it as "bacterial SSU rRNA". It matches the Rfam family "Bacterial small subunit ribosomal RNA", at positions 29 to 518 of the family's 1533-position model. The record is from RNAcentral.
AUGAACGCUAGCGACAGGCCUAACACAUGCAAGUCGAGGGGCAGCACAAGGAGCAAUCUGAGGUGGCGACCGGCGCACGGGUGAGUAACACGUAUGCAACCUGCCUGUAAGCGGGGAAUAACCCGUUGAAAGACGGACUAAUACCGCAUAAUACUAAAUUACUGCAUGGUAAUUUAUUUAAACAUUUAUGGCUUACAGAUGGGCAUGCGCAUGAUUAGCUAGUUGGAGAGGUAACGGCUCCCCAAGGCAACGAUCAUUAGGGUUCUGAGAGGAAGGUCCCCCACACUGGUACUGAGACACGGACCAGACUCCUACGGGAGGCAGCAGUGAGGAAUAUUGGUCAAUGGACGAGAGUCUGAACCAGCCAAGUCGCGUGCAGGAAGAAUGUCCCUAUGGAUUGUAAACUGCUUUUGCAGGGGAAUAAAGUGCAUCACGUGUGAUGUUUUGUAUGUACUCUGCGAAUAAGGAUCGGCUAACUCCGUGCCAGCAGCAGC